GUCAAAGAUGUUGAACAGGGGCCACAUGCCUGAGACUACCUGACCAGUUCAGCCUGUGUCUGAGGCACAGACUAAACCUGAGCAAACAGGCUGGUAGUCCAGCACCAACAGCGAACUUCAGUACUUGCCUCGUCUAUCUUCCAAGAGCAAAGAGGCCCACAGUGCCCUGGCUGCCUGUGGUCUGACCAGGCUGGAUGGGCCCUGAGGUGUGGGUUAGCGCGCUGAGAUCCCAGCGUGCAUGGCUGAGACAGCUGGCAAGGGCCAGCUUGGGAAGGAUGGCCUCAUAAGCUGCUGUGUGGACUGUCUGGCUCCUGAUUCAGGAAAGUGCACUUGGAGACCUGACCAUGCUGGUUUUGAACGCACAGAAAUCCACCUGCCACUGCCUCCCAAGUGCUGAGAUUAAAGGGUAUCCAGUAAAGGUCUAUGGUGAUGUUCCUCAUCUGGGAGGUUCCACAGUGAAAAGUGCUCAGAAUGGCUGGGGACACUGACAUCAGACUCUAACACUUGGUUCCUUCAAAGAAGAGGAAGUACACUGCAGCAGGGGCAAGAGGGCAAGACAUGACCAGUGGCCUCUGAAAACCAUGCCCACAAGGAUGUGCUACUACAAGCUGAUCCUCCCAGCCCUGCAGGGCUGGCGCAGUGUGGACAGCAGGGCCAUACAGUGUGGCGGCCAGAAUGCUCAGACCCAGCACUCCAGCUUAGCAGACCAGAGCUCUCAGCUCCGCCCUGUUCUUGUCUUGUGGUGGAGCCUUCUCCUUCUCCUCUUCCAGCCUCUGUAUCUCCUGCGUGAGGGAGCGGGCUUGCAAGCAGGGUGCUACGGCACUGACCAGAAGGCUGGCCCAGUGCCAUCGGCUCAAAGGAAGACUCUGGGCUCUGAGUCUUUGCCCCUUCUCUAAGGAGAAGGGCAGCAGUUCCCCAGUAGAGCUGGGUACCCCUAGCCCACGGCCCACUCACGCACGCACCUGCUUGACAGCCUGCUGCAGCUUCUCCAGGUUGAUGUCCUUGGCCUCGCGAAGCAGUGUCCUCUCAUCCAUCUUCAGCAUGGACACACGGUACUGACAGAGUUCCACAACCACCACAUCGGGCUGCACCUCCCGGAUCGUCUGCAAAGCAAGGACCACACUCACUGGCCCCCUCCUAUCGCUUUCCACAUGGCUGCUCCACGCUGGACAAGGGGUCCCACACCAGGGGCAGCCAGCAUGAAUAGCCUGUGUGGCUUAAGUGACAAAUUCUAGAGAAAGAGCAAGCAGAGAAAGCCGAGGCAGCUUUACUCGCUAAAAUGAAGCAGCACGAGGCUCCGAGCCAUGCAGCGGGAAGCACCACCUCUCCUCUCAGGCCUGGGGGGCUCUAGGGCUGGAAACGCCUGCCACCAGGUGCUUCCCUCGUCGCCCUGGCCUGUGUCCCCGCAGUCCAGGCUGCAGGCGCACAGUGCUCACCUUCGCCACGUCCCGCUUGCUGUCGUCACUGAAGUGAGCGGUGCCCACCACGUACACCCUGCUCCCAUCCUCAGCCACUAGCUGGGUCACAGUACGAGGAAGGUUGGGCCGUUCACGCCGCCGCUUCAUUUUCAUGUCCAGGAGCAAGUUGAAGGCAUCCAUAUCAGCUGUAACAACAGCAAAAGCCAUGGUGAAGGGAGGUGUGGGGCGGCAUGACCCCGGGGCACAGCUGCCUAUGUACUGGCUACGGAGGCUUUCCAGCUUCCCAGUGAGACCUGAGUCCCAUUGGCCAGAAUCUCUGGCAGGCGGCUCACUCCACACAGCUGGCUUACCCAGAUGCCCGGACAAGCCACCUGAGCACCUCUGCGAACGGAGUACAGCUGAGGGGCCUGGGCGGGAGUUGCCUCACUAACCUCAAUUAGACCCAAACUGUCACAGGAAAGUGCUGUGCCUGAGGGAACGGGGUGGCCAGGUUCCCUGGACGUGUCUCAGUCACAUGUAUGACUCAACUUUUAGGGGCUGAAGCACAGGCUCUGUGCAGCCAAUUUCAGGAUAUUACAGGUACCUAAGUACA
Long non-coding RNA from Meriones unguiculatus (Mongolian gerbil), 2010 nucleotides. RefSeq lists it as uncharacterized. NCBI's taxonomy places the organism in Eukaryota, Metazoa, Chordata, Mammalia, Rodentia, Muridae. The transcript is spliced from 3 exons. The record is from RefSeq and is a predicted model, not a curated record.